Molecule: ribosomal RNA, 173 nt
Filed under: Stolephorus teguhi
Lineage: Eukaryota; Metazoa; Chordata; Actinopteri; Clupeiformes; Engraulidae
Description: partial 12S rRNA
Source: RNAcentral
CACCGCGGUUAUACGAGAGGCCCUAAUUGAUGAACACGGCGUAAAGGGUGGUUAUGGGGCCCCUUACACUAAAGUCGAAAACCCUUCUAACUGUUAUACGCACUCAAGGGCUCUAAUUUCAUUAACGAAAGUGACUUUAUUACCGUCUACCAGAACCCACAACAGCUAGGGCA